UGCGAGUGAAGCGGGAAAAGCUCAAAUUUAAAAUCUGGCAGAUGUUUGUCUGUCCGAGUUGUAACCUAGAGAAGUGUAACCUGUGCUGGACCAUGUACAAGUCUCCUGGAAUGGAGCAUCAUAGAGGGUGAGAAUCCCGUCUUUGACAUGGACUACCAGUGCACUGUGGUUGCGCACUCAACGAGUCGAGUUGUUUGGGAAUGCAGCUCUAAAUGGGUGGUAAAUUCCAUCUAAAGCUAAAUAUUGGCGAGAGACCGAUAGCGAACAAGUACCGUGAGGGAAAGAUGAAAAGAACUUUGGAAAGAGAGUUAAACAGUAUGUGAAAUUGUUGAAAGGGAAACGCUUGAAGUCAGCUGCAUUGGCUGGGGAUCAAGCCAGCUUAUUUGCUGGGUGUACUUCCUGGUUGAUGGGCCAACAUCAGUUUUGACCAUCAGAGAAAGGCUAAGGGAAUGUGGCACCUUUAUAGGUGUGUUAUAGCCCUUGGUUGUAUGUGGUGGAUGGGACUGAAGAUAGCAGCGUGCCACAAGGCCGGGUUUCCACCACGUUCACGCUUUGGAUGUUGGCAUAAUGGCUUUAAGCGACCCGUCUUGAAACACGGACCAAGGAGUCUAACAUGCAUGCAAGUGUUUGGGUGGAAAACUCAAGCGCGUAAUGAAAGUGAAAGUUGAGAUCCCUCUCACGGGGGGAGCAUCGACGCCCGGACCAGAACUUUUGGGACGGAUCUGCGGUAGAGCAAGCAUGUUGGGACCCGAAAGAUGGUGAACUAUGCCUGAAUAGGGUGAAGCCAGAGGAAACUCUGGUGGAAGCUCGUAGCGAUUCUGACGUGCAAAUCGA
Molecule: ribosomal RNA, 834 nt
Filed under: Amanita virosa (European destroying angel)
Lineage: Eukaryota; Fungi; Basidiomycota; Agaricomycetes; Agaricales; Amanitaceae
Description: partial large subunit ribosomal RNA
Rfam family: Eukaryotic large subunit ribosomal RNA
Source: RNAcentral